UAUUAAUUCUUCAGAGAAUUCUUCUAUCAAGUUAUCUCUUUUCUCCUUCAGGAUCAAUCCUUAUAUAGGCAAGGAAAGGAGGAUGAGGACAAUAAAUGAGGGAACAUGGAGAGGGAAUAAAGGGAUAAAGGGGAGAGGAAAGAAAUCAAAAGAGUAAGUGUUCCCUCAUAAUUGAGGGAAUCAAUCACUUUACAAUACUUCCCCUGAUUCCCUACUAUAGAAGAUUAUGUCUCAUUAAAAACCUUGUUAAGAAAACCCAGUGGGAAAAACUUAACGAAGGAAAAAAGAGUACAUAUCUUUUACAUAAAUAUCUUAAUUGACUGCCUCGUUAAAACCUUGUCAGGAAAAACCCAUUGGGAUAAAAACCGUGACUAAGGAAAAAGAGUACAGUCUUCCCCUCAAAAG
RNAcentral lists this long non-coding RNA (405 nucleotides) under Panax ginseng (ginseng). RNAcentral describes it as "long non-coding RNA (PGIN_LNC006542)". Lineage: Eukaryota; Viridiplantae; Streptophyta; Magnoliopsida; Apiales; Araliaceae. The record is from RNAcentral.